Molecule: unclassified non-coding RNA, 265 nt
Rfam family: Eukaryotic small subunit ribosomal RNA (bases 1-46)
AAGUCGUAACAAGGUUUCCGUAGGUGAACCUGCGGAAGGAUCAUUAUUGAAUUUUUGAGGAAGUUGUUUGCUGGCCUUUCGAAAGGGGCAUGUGCACGCUUCGUUCAAAUUUCCAACUCUUUAUACACCUGUGCACUUUUUGUAGGGUUGUGGCUGUAAAAGGCUGCACUCUAUGUUUAUCAUAUAAACUCUUUAGUAUGUGUAGAAUGUUCAUUGCGUAUAACGCAUCUUUAUACAACUUUCAGCAACGGAUCUCUUGGCUCUC